RNAcentral lists this ribosomal RNA (497 nucleotides) under uncultured bacterium. RNAcentral's name for it is "partial 16S ribosomal RNA". It matches the Rfam family "Bacterial small subunit ribosomal RNA", at positions 28 to 507 of the family's 1533-position model. The record is from RNAcentral.
GAUGAACGCUGGCGGCGUGCCUAAUACAUGCAAGUCGAGCGAACAGACGAGGAGCUUGCUCCUCUGACGUUAGCGGCGGACGGGUGAGUAACACGUGGAUAACCUACCUAUAAGACUGGGAUAACUUCGGGAAACCGGAGCUAAUACCGGAUAAUAUAUUGAACCGCAUGGUUCAAUAGUGAAAGACGGUUUUGCUGUUACUUAUAGAUGGUUCCGCGCCGCAUUAGCUAGUUGGUAAGGUAACGGCUUACCAAGGCGACGAUGCGUAGCCGACCUGAGAGGGGGAUCGGCCACACUGGAACUGAGACACGGUCCAGACUCCUACGGGAGGCAGCAGUGGGGAAUCUUCCGCAAUGGGCGAAAGCCUGACGGAGCAACGCCGCGUGAGUGAUGAAGUUCUUCGGAUCGUAAAACUCUGUUAUUAGGGAAGAACAAAUGUGUAAGUAACUAUGCACGUCGUGACGGUACCUAAUCAGAAAGCCACGGCUAACUACGUG